CGGGCGAGUCAAAUACAGAGAGCGUUGACUGUAUAGCGCUUUUCGGCCAGGACACACUUACUGGCUUAACAUAUAUAACACAUAACACCGGUUUAUGUGGCUCACUGAAUUUGGCCCCACUUUUUUCGAUUUUCGGAUUUUUUUUAUUUUUAAUUGUUUGUUCGCCGUUUGUUCGUUAAUGUUCGAAUGUAAAAAUCGUUUGUUCGUCUUUUAUUUAUUUAUAAUUAAUUAAACAAAUGGUCACCCUUAAGUUGGCCCCCCUUACUAGAUAUCUUUAUUUUUAUCGCUCAGAUUAAUUAAUUUUGAUCAAUUAUCGUUUGUUCGACGACUAUUGGUGAUUGUUCGAUCAUAAAAAUAAUCAAAUUCCCAAUUAUUAAUUAUUUUAUAUCUAAUAAGCAAACCCUCAAUUCACGCCUACACUGCGCAUGCGCCGAUUUUGUCCAUCAGCUGGCAAUGGCCGUAUUUACUAGCGUUUUGUUAACGAGUGCGUUUAUACUGUCUAAUUAUUUCUUAUGUAGAUCAAAAAAAUAUUGAAAACUUCAACAAUACUUCGACAAAAAAAUGUGGGUGAAGACGGCCAAUUAGUCGUUAGAGUACGAUUAGCGUGGUUUUAAUAAAUUCAGUCAUUUUUAAUGAUAUUGAAUAUUAACAAGCAUAUGGAAAUUUCGGUGAUUUCUAAUUAUUCUAAGAAUAUUUUAGAAGUACAACUUUCGUGUUAAAAUGAUACUAUUCAUUACCAUGCAAUAGGAGAUAGUUAUAAUACUUGUAUUUUAUAAUAAAAUUAAUAAUUUCUAAAUUCA
This 800-nucleotide long non-coding RNA is filed under the name Cotesia glomerata. Its description in RNAcentral is "uncharacterized LOC123267471". The record is from RNAcentral. Lineage: Eukaryota; Metazoa; Arthropoda; Insecta; Hymenoptera; Braconidae.